This 301-nucleotide ribosomal RNA is filed under the name uncultured bacterium. RNAcentral describes it as "partial 16S ribosomal RNA". It matches the Rfam family "Bacterial small subunit ribosomal RNA", at positions 509 to 807 of the family's 1533-position model. The record is from RNAcentral.
CAGCCGCCGCGGUAAUACGAAGGGGGCUAGCGUUGUUCGGAUUUACUGGGCGUAAAGGGCGCGUAGGCGGAUUUGUAAGUCAGGGGUGAAAUCCCGAGGCUCAACCUCGGAACUGCCUUUGAUACUGUGGAUCUUGAGUCCGGGAGAGGUGAGUGGAACUGCGAGUGUAGAGGUGAAAUUCGUAGAUAUUCGCAAGAACACCAGUGGCGAAGGCGGCUCACUGGCCCGGAACUGACGCUGAGGCGCGAAAGCGUGGGGAGCAAACAGGAUUAGAUACCCCCGUAGUCCCUGUCUCUUAUAC